CCUACGGGCGGCAGCAGUGAGGAAUAUUGGUCAAUGGGCGAGAGCCUGAACCAGCCAAGUCGCGUGAAGGAUGACGGCCCUACGGGUUGUAAACUUCUUUUGUCAGGGAGCAAGUGGGUCCACGCGUGGGCUUAGCGAGAGGACCUGAAGAAAAAGCAUCGGCUAACUCCGUGCCCGCAGCCGCGGUAAUACGGAGGAUGCGAGCGUUAUCCGGAUGUAUUGGGUUGAAAGGGUGCGUAGGCGGAAUAUCAAGUCAGCGGUAAAAAUUCGGGGCUCAACCCCGUCGUGCCGUUGAAACUGAUGUUCUUGAGUGGGCGAGAAGUAUGCGGAAUGCGUGGUGUAGCGGUGAACUGCAUAGAUAUCACGCAGAACUCCGAUUGCGAAGGCAGCAUACCGGCGCCCAACUGACGCUGAAGCACGAAAGCGUGGGUAUCGAACAGGAUUAGAUACCCGUGUAGUC
RNAcentral lists this ribosomal RNA (460 nucleotides) under uncultured bacterium. Its description in RNAcentral is "partial 16S ribosomal RNA". It matches the Rfam family "Bacterial small subunit ribosomal RNA", at positions 338 to 795 of the family's 1533-position model. The record is from RNAcentral.